This 205-nucleotide ribosomal RNA is filed under the name uncultured bacterium. RNAcentral describes it as "partial 16S ribosomal RNA". It matches the Rfam family "Bacterial small subunit ribosomal RNA", at positions 32 to 220 of the family's 1533-position model. The record is from RNAcentral.
AAUCAACGCUGGCGGCGUGCCUAACACAUGCAAGUCGAACGCGAGAGGGGGCUUCGGCCCCGAUUGAGUGGCGAACGGGUGAGUAACGCGUGGGUGACCUACCUUCGAGUGGGGGAUAACGUCCCGAAAGGGACGCUAAUACCGCAUAACAUCCUGCUUUUGAAUGGGUGGAGAUCAAAGCCGGGGAUCGCAAGACCUGGCGCUU